GACGAACGCUGGCGGCGUGCUUAACACAUGCAAGUCGAACGGAAAGGCCCUGCUUUUGUGGGGUGCUCGAGUGGCGAAUGGGUGAGUAACACGUGAGUAACCUGCCCUUGACUUUGGGAUAACUUCAGGAAACUGGGGCUAAUACCGGAUAGGAGCUCCUGCUGCAUGGUGGGGGUUGGAAAGUUUCGGCGGUUGGGGAUGGACUCGCGGCUUAUCAGCUUGUUGGUGGGGUAGUGGCUUACCAAGGCUUUGACGGGUAGCCGGCCUGAGAGGGUGACCGGCCGCAUUGGGACUGAGAUACGGCCCAGACUCCUACGGGAGGCAGCAGUGGGGAAUAUUGCACAAUGGGCGGAAGCCUGAUGCAGCAACGCCGCGUGCGGGAUGACGGCCUUCGGGUUGUAAACCGCUUUCGCCUGUGACGAAGCGUGAGUGACGGUAAUGGGUAAAGAAGCACCGGCUAACUACGCG
Molecule: ribosomal RNA, 468 nt
Filed under: uncultured bacterium
Lineage: Bacteria
Description: partial 16S ribosomal RNA
Rfam family: Bacterial small subunit ribosomal RNA
Source: RNAcentral